CAUCAACUGGUUUGUUUGUAACACAAUCAAACCUGAUGGGCCAUUUCACGGGAGGUAUUGACUGAAAGAAACCAAUUUGAAGACAACAAGUAAUGACAUCCUUGUGCACCAAUGAUUUUCCCGCUGUUACGUUGAUUGACUGUCUUUUAACCCAUUGACCACUGAUCGUCUUGAAAUCUAGCUGGGUAGAUAGCCAAUGAGCUGAGCUAAAUGGCAAUACGCCAUUUUUAUGUGUUGCAAGACCAACCCAUAUAGUAAGCUCCAGCAUAAAGAGAGUCAUGCACUAUUGAAUUGUCAUACCGGAAGAAGCUACGCAUUUACGCAUUGUAUUGUUUGGUGAAUUCGCAGAUUCAGCUGUUUAUACAUCAAUUAUUAUGGCGACUCAGGAAGUCAGGAAAGCUACAUCUAAGUCUAGAUAUACAGAUGUGCACACAACUUUAGAAUAAAUUGAUUGGGAAGGUGAGACAGAGAUUGUUGUAGGAUGCUUCAUUUAGCGAUUGUGGAGGAAUAUUUUUUGAACGGGAGAGGACAUCGUUUUGGACUGGAGGACCUGAGCCCUAGGACCAUGUGUCAGGACUACCUGGCAUGAUGACUCCUUGCUGUUCCCAGUCCACCUGGCCUUGCCGCUGUUCCAGUUUCAACUGUUCUGCCUGCGACUAUGGAACCCUAAACUGUUCAUUUUUACUCUUGAGGUGCUGUCCUGUUGCACCCUCUACAACCACUGUGAUCUCCACCUGGCACAGCCAGGAGAGGACUGGCCACCCCACAUAGCAUGGUUCCUCUCUAGGUUUCUUCCUAGGUUUUGGCCUUUCUAGGGAGUUUUUCCCAGCCACCGUGCAUCUACACCUGCAUUGCUUGCUGUUUGGGGUUUUAGGCUGGGGCUAUAUAAAUAGAUUUGAUUUGAUAGAGGACUGAGGGUCAUCCAAAUAUUGAAAGUGUGUAAAUAGUUACCCAUGUUAUUUUGUAAAUGUAUAUAUAUUUUUUCUCCAAUUUUUUUAAAUCAAUAAUAAAAAAUAAAAUAAUAAAAUCAUUUAUUUUUCUAAAUUCUUUUUUUUUGGGGGGGGGGGGUGUUAGAAUACCAUUUUGGCAUUUUGUAUAUAGUUAUUUGUUUCAAAAUGUAUACCUUCACCAAUUUGGCCACUUGGGUACAUUUGGGCUACUUGUGUGGGACACCUGGGUGACUUUGUGAUAAAUGUUAUGUAAGCCCACUCAUUUUGGAAGUUAUCAUUCUUUGCACAAGUACUGUUGCCUUCUUAUAUUUUUCACUGAAAUUGUCCCCAUCAUCCUAUCUGAAUGUUUGUUUUAUCUUGUUCAUUUUAAAGAUGAUGAUACAAAAAGGAAAAUAAAAAAACUUGUGUUUUUUUUCAUUGUUUUAUCUAAA
Molecule: long non-coding RNA, 1381 nt
Organism: Oncorhynchus keta (chum salmon)
Lineage: Eukaryota; Metazoa; Chordata; Actinopteri; Salmoniformes; Salmonidae
Exons: 2
Source: RefSeq, a predicted model, not a curated record